UUGAACGCUGGCGGCAGGCCUAACACAUGCAAGUCGAGCGGCAGCGCGGGGCAACCUGGCGGCGAGCGGCGGACGGGUGAGUAACGCGUAGGAAUCUACCCAGUAGCGGGGGAUAGCCCGGGGAAACUCGGAUUAAUACCGCAUACGCCCUAAGGGGGAAAGCAGGGGAUCGUAAGACCUUGCACUAUUGGAAGAGCCUGCGUUGGAUUAGCUAGUUGGUAGGGUAAAGGCCUACCAAGGCGACGAUCCAUAACUGGUCUGAGAGGAUGAUCAGGCACACGGGAACUGAGACACGGUCCGGACUCCUACGGGAGGCAGCAGUGGGGAAUAUUGGACAAUGGGGGCAACCCUGAUCCAGCCAUGCCGCGUGUGUGAAGAAGGCCUUCGGGUUGUAAAGCACUUUAAGUGGGGAGAAAGGUUCGGCAGCUAAUACCUGCCGGAAGUGAUGUUACCCACAGAAUAAGCACCGGCUAACUCUGUGCCAGCAGCCGCCGUAA
This 497-nucleotide ribosomal RNA is filed under the name uncultured bacterium. RNAcentral's name for it is "partial 16S ribosomal RNA". It matches the Rfam family "Bacterial small subunit ribosomal RNA", at positions 29 to 523 of the family's 1533-position model. The record is from RNAcentral.